RNAcentral lists this ribosomal RNA (482 nucleotides) under uncultured bacterium. RNAcentral's name for it is "partial 16S ribosomal RNA". It matches the Rfam family "Bacterial small subunit ribosomal RNA", at positions 28 to 506 of the family's 1533-position model. The record is from RNAcentral.
GACGAACGCUGGCGGCGUGCUUAACACAUGCAAGUCGAACGCUGAAGCUCAGCUUUUGUUGGGUGGAUGAGUGGCGAACGGGUGAGUAACACGUGAGUAACCUGCCUCCUUCUUUGGGAUAACGCCCGGAAACGGGUGCUAAUACUGGAUAUUCACUGGUCUUCGCAUGGGGGUUGGUGGAAAGGGUUUUUCUGGUGGGGGAUGGGCUCGCGGCCUAUCAGCUUGUUGGUGGGGUGAUGGCCUACCAAGGCUUUGACGGGUGGCCGGCCUGAGAGGGUGACCGGUCACAUUGGGACUGAGAUACGGCCCAGACUCCUACGGGAGGCAGCAGUGGGGAAUAUUGCACAAUGGGCGCAAGCCUGAUGCAGCGACGCCGCGUGAGGGAUGGAGGCCUUCGGGUUGUGAACCUCUUUCGCUCAUGGUCAAGCCGCAACAAUGGUUGUGGUGAGGGUAGUGGGUAAAGAAGCGCCGGCUAACUACGU